Molecule: unclassified non-coding RNA, 900 nt
Filed under: Hevea brasiliensis (rubber tree)
Lineage: Eukaryota; Viridiplantae; Streptophyta; Magnoliopsida; Malpighiales; Euphorbiaceae
Source: RNAcentral
CAGCUCCUUAGUUCCUUGCUCAUUUUUUUUUAAAAAAAAAUACAUUUCAUUUGUAUGAUGGUGGGAGCUUUCUGGUCAAUGUACUACUACCAAAACAUGUACAGAAAAAGAACUUUCCUUAAGCUAGUCGGCCGGUAAGAGAGGACGGAGAGAUACUCGAAGAGUGGAACGAGAAAAGACAAUACCACGACGAAGGAUUGAAAUACGCAGCAACAACCCUUUACUUUGUCUUCUCGUCGACAAGGAGAUGCAGCUUGUCAUGGUGGAACCUGUCGGGGAGAAUGUGAACUCGGAUUUCUUGAUAUACAGAUCAUCAUCAACCCGAAUACUUAGCUAAACAUGUACUUUUUAUGUCAUGUCAUCACGGGUCGUGAAAAGAUGCAGUCCCAUUUGCCUUUUUAUAUGAUCUGGUAUCAACCUGUUAAUGAGGUCUGGAGAAGCACCAGCCAACUCCUGCUUAAAAUUGAAAAGAGGCGGCAAUUGCCGGCCAUGGGGAAGGCGUGCAUUGGGUUCUCGAAGCUCGUCAAAGAAAGGAUGCGCACAUGCUUCAAGAGCAUUGCAACGAAGACUAGGUGAGUACUGCAAUAGACGUGAAGCAAGGUCAAUAGCUUCAGGCGGCAUUCGUUUGUGGAAUACCUUAUGCCAAGGGUGUGCUUUGAUUUGUGGAAACCGAAAAUCAGUGUAAUUUGGAUUCAUACAACGAAUUUCCUCUCUCGUUGGUGUUCCAAGUACCUUGAUUAUCUCAACAAGCUGAUCGACAGCAUUUUCUCCUGGAAAUAAUGGCUGGCCUAGGAGAAGCUCUGCAAGGACACAACCAGCUGACCAGAUAUCAAUAGAGGUCGUAUACUCUGUUGCACCGAAUAUAAGUUCAGGAGCCCGAUAAAACCGUGAGCAGAUGUA